This 261-nucleotide ribosomal RNA is filed under the name uncultured bacterium. RNAcentral's name for it is "partial 16S ribosomal RNA". It matches the Rfam family "Bacterial small subunit ribosomal RNA", at positions 96 to 353 of the family's 1533-position model. The record is from RNAcentral.
UGGCGAACGGGUGAGUAACGCGUGAGGAACCUGCCUCAAAGAGGGGGACAACAGUUGGAAACGACUGCUAAUACCGCAUAAGCCCACGGUGCCGCAUGGCACAGAGGGAAAAGGAGCAAUCCGCUUUGAGAUGGCCUCGCGUCCGAUUAGCUAGUUGGUGAGGUAACGGCCCACCAAGGCGACGAUCGGUAGCCGGACUGAGAGGUUGAACGGCCACAUUGGGACUGAGACACGGUCCAAACUCCUACGGGAGGCAGCAUG